UGUAUAAUGGGUCAGCGACUUAUAUUCUGUAGCAAGGUUAACCGAAUAGGGGAGCCGAAGGGAAACCGAGUCUUAACUGGGCGUUAAGUUGCAGGGUAUAGACCCGAAACCCGGUGAUCUAGCCAUGGGCAGGUUGAAGGUUGGGUAACACUAACUGGAGGACCGAACCGACUAAUGUUGAAAAAUUAGCGGAUGACUUGUGGCUGGGGGUGAAAGGCCAAUCAAACCGGGAGAUAGCUGGUUCUCCCCGAAAGCUAUUUAGGUAGCGCCUCGUGAAUUCAUCUCCGGGGGUAGAGCACUGUUUCGGCAAGGGGGUCAUCCCGACUUACCAACCCGAUGCAAACUGCGAAUACCGGAGAAUGUUAUCACGGGAGACACACGGCGGGUGCUAACGUCCGUCGUGAAGAGGGAAACAACCCAGACCGCCAGCUAAGGUCCCAAAGUCAUGGUUAAGUGGGAAACGAUGUGGGAAGGCCCAGACAGCCAGGAUGUUGGCUUAGAAGCAGCCAUCAUUUAAAGAAAGCGUAAUAGCUCACUGGUCGAGUCGGCCUGCGCGGAAGAUGUAACGGGGCUAAACCAUGCACCGAAGCUGCGGCAGCGACGCUUAUGCGUUGUUGGGUAGGGGAGCGUUCUGUAAGCCUGCGAAGGUGUGCUGUGAGGCAUGCUGGAG
Molecule: ribosomal RNA, 670 nt
Filed under: Escherichia coli
Lineage: Bacteria; Pseudomonadati; Pseudomonadota; Gammaproteobacteria; Enterobacterales; Enterobacteriaceae
Description: partial 23S ribosomal RNA
Rfam family: Bacterial large subunit ribosomal RNA
Source: RNAcentral